AUUGAACGCUGGCGGCAGGCCUAACACAUGCAAGUCGAACGGUAACAGGAAGCAGCUUGCUGCUUUGCUGACGAGUGGCGGACGGGUGAGUAAUGUCUGGGAAACUGCCUGAUGGAGGGGGAUAACUACUGGAAACGGUAGCUAAUACCGCAUAACGUCGCAAGACCAAAGAGGGGGACCUUCGGGCCUCUUGCCAUCGGAUGUGCCCAGAUGGGAUUAGCUAGUAGGUGGGGUAACGGCUCACCUAGGCGACGAUCCCUAGCUGGUCUGAGAGGAUGACCAGCCACACUGGAACUGAGACACGGUCCAGACUCCUACGGGAGGCAGCAGUAGGGAAUAUUGCACAAUGGGCGCAAGCCUGAUGCAGCCAUGCCGCGUGUAUGAAGAAGGCCUUCGGGUUGUAAAGUACUUUCAGCGGGGAGGAAGGGAGUAAAGUUAAUACCUUUGCUCAUUGACGUUACCCGCAGAAGAAGCACCGGCUAACUCCGUG
Molecule: ribosomal RNA, 490 nt
Filed under: uncultured bacterium
Lineage: Bacteria
Description: partial 16S ribosomal RNA
Rfam family: Bacterial small subunit ribosomal RNA
Source: RNAcentral